GCAGUGGUGUUCAGUGGUAGAAUUCUUGUCUUCCAUGCAAAAGACCUAGGUUCAAUUCCUGGCCAGUGUA
RNAcentral lists this transfer RNA (70 nucleotides) under Loxodonta africana (African savanna elephant). It matches the Rfam family "tRNA". Rfam says of the family: Transfer RNA (tRNA) molecules are approximately 80 nucleotides in length. Their secondary structure includes four short double-helical elements and three loops (D, anti-codon, and T loops). Lineage: Eukaryota; Metazoa; Chordata; Mammalia; Proboscidea; Elephantidae. The record is from Rfam by way of RNAcentral.